AAGUCGUAACAAGGUUUCCGUAGGUGAACCUGCGGAAGGAUCAUUAACACGUUAUCCACGUAUCUACCAACGAGAACAGUUUUCACUCCCUCUCUCAUGAAGCAUGAACUGAGCUGGUCCAGCGUAGGAUGGGAUGCUCUGCGUCGACGUUGACAGCCACUGGCCGUAUCACAGGUAGUUCAAUCUGCCGUGUUAGCCGACAGUUGAAGUUCUCUGAGUCUAAUGUCAUUGGGCCGUUUCCACUCCAUAUCGCCCGGUGACAAACCUUUUUUACCCAUAUCAACCCCCUUUUUGCUAGUUGACUUUUAUAUGUUGCAUGUGAGCUUCGGCGAGUGUGCACACGUUUAAUUAUUUGAACGUUAAAAAUACAACUCUUAGCAAUGGAUAUCUAGGUUCUC
This 398-nucleotide unclassified non-coding RNA is filed under the name fungal sp. Its description in RNAcentral is "partial internal transcribed spacer region". The stretch from base 1 to 46 matches the Rfam family "Eukaryotic small subunit ribosomal RNA", at positions 1786 to 1831 of the family's 1831-position model. The record is from RNAcentral. Lineage: Eukaryota; Fungi.